CAUAGGUUAAUGAGGCGAACCGGGGGAACUGAAACAUCUAAGUACCCCGAGGAAAAGAAAUCAACCGAGAUUCCCCCAGUAGCGGCGAGCGAACGGGGAGCAGCCCAGAGCCUGAAUCAGUGUGUGUGUUAGUGGAAGCGUCUGGAAAGGCGCGCGAUACAGGGUGACAGCCCCGUACACAAAAAUGCACAUGCUGUGAGCUCGAUGAGUAGGGCGGGACACGUGGUAUCCUGUCUGAAUAUGGGGGGACCAUCCUCCAAGGCUAAAUACUCCUGACUGACCGAUAGUGAACCAGUACCGUGAGGGAAAGGCGAAAAGAACCCCGGCGAGGGGAGUGAAAAAGAACCUGAAACCGUGUACGUACAAGCAGUGGGAGCACGCUUAGG
This 386-nucleotide ribosomal RNA is filed under the name Escherichia coli. RNAcentral's name for it is "partial 23S ribosomal RNA". It matches the Rfam family "Bacterial large subunit ribosomal RNA", at positions 165 to 589 of the family's 2925-position model. Lineage: Bacteria; Pseudomonadati; Pseudomonadota; Gammaproteobacteria; Enterobacterales; Enterobacteriaceae. The record is from RNAcentral.